Molecule: ribosomal RNA, 492 nt
Filed under: uncultured bacterium
Lineage: Bacteria
Description: bacterial SSU rRNA
Rfam family: Bacterial small subunit ribosomal RNA
Source: RNAcentral
GACGAACGCUGGCGGCGUGGAUUAGGCAUGCAAGUCGAACGGUAGGAUACCUUCGGGUAUCUGAGAGUGGCGAACGGGUGAGUAACACGUAGGUGAUCUACCCUCAAGAUUGGGACAACCCAGGGAAACUUGGGCUAAUACCGGAUGAAAGCAGCAGUGAUGUUGUUUGAAAGGUGGCGUAAGCUGCCGUUUGGGGAUGAGCCUGCGCUCUAUUAGUUAGUUGGCGGGGUAAAGGCCCACCAAGGCGAUGAUAGAUAGGCGGCCUUAACGGGUGGUCGCCCACACUGGGAUUGAGAUACGGCCCAGACUCCUACGGGAGGCAGCAGUCGAGAAUAGUCUACAAUGGCCGAAAGGCUGAUAGUGCGACGCCGCGUGAACGAAGAAGCCCUUCGGGUGUAAGUUCUUUUAUAUGUGAGCAGUGCUUUCUAUGUGAACAGCAUGGGGAGAGAGAUAUUAGCAUAUGAAUAAGCAACGGCUAACUCCGUGCCAGCA